AAAAUCGAAUUUAGUUAUAUCUCCCAAAAACCCAUUAUCAUAUUAGUUCUAGUGUUUUCCCCUUGAGUUCAAACAACGCCUCCCACUUCUCUGCUUCUCGUCCACUCGGUGGGCUACGUUUUUUCCACAGACGGCAUUAGAACAUACAGUCAGACUAUGGUGAAUGGUCUCUCUAAUCCUCUUUACGAAUAAAUGAAUUUUAGUUUUAGUUUCCCUCAAAUUAGUGCUCAACUGUUCACAGGUGACAACCUAUAUCAUAAUUUACCCAAAUUGUUAAAAGUGUGAUUUAGUGAAAAAUGGAUCCAAAUUCGAGUGUUACUACCGAAGAACCUGCUUCCUGGGAUGAGCUGUACAACAUAGACUUGGUGCCCUCCGAAUUGUUUCUUAAAUUUCGCAAAGAAGUUGAAGGUUUUAGACUUGGAGUUAAUUUAGAGUUCUAUAAUUCACCGAUCAAUGAAUUCCAGACAAAGCUGGUACUAAAGCCUUUGUCAACGGAGAGAAGAUGGAAAUUUAUAUAUGAGCCCAUUCAUCAGGAUGUGCGUGUGCUUUCUAAGAAGAUUCCUUUAACUAAAUUUCUCAAUCUGCAGGUUGGCAUAGGUCAUAGCUUUUCGUUAGGUGCCACCGGAUGGAAAUGGAAGCUUACCUCAUGUUUGGGGGGAGAUGGCAUCUCUCGAAUUCGGAACAAGACAUCAGUUGGACUUUGUGAUGGUGUGGAUUUACGGUUUGGCUGGAGGGCUGAUUAUAUUCUUCCCGAAAUUACAGGGGCCUUAGGCACAGGUGAACCAUUAUUCAAUAUGAAUUCAGGCCGUCUGCAAGCCUCUUUAGACAGAGUUGAAGCUAUUUUCACACACAAAAACGACGAAUAACACUUCCACCAGCGAAACGAAUGGCAGCUUGAUGAUCCAUAUUAUGGUUGUACAGCUCGGUUUUCCUUCUUCACGUUGUAUUUGAUUUUCGUGUUGUUUGGAAAACAAUUAAUUAAAAACUUCCAAAAAUAUGCUGGAUCUUAUCAUUUACAGUUUGUUUCAGUUCAACUCCGUCACAGUUUUGGCGUAACAUUUAAAAUGAUCUAGUAUAUCAUAGAUCCCAUGUCGCAUUUGCUUUAGCCUUUCUGGAGGAUUCGAUAGUCCACCGGCCUCCAUUUUCUGCAAAGUUCAAGACGUUUCUCAGUGGAGUGUUCCGUUAGGGAGUAUGAAGAAUUAGAAGUCGAAAGGGAAAAAACGACAAGGAAGCAGAGUACGAGUGAGGAGGAAACUAUGGUUAAGGUGGCUAACAUUUCUCAAGUUUAGAAUUUAGUUUAAGACUAAUUCAUAC
Molecule: RNA transcript, 1314 nt
Organism: Amaranthus tricolor (Joseph's coat)
Lineage: Eukaryota; Viridiplantae; Streptophyta; Magnoliopsida; Caryophyllales; Amaranthaceae
Exons: 6
Source: RefSeq, a predicted model, not a curated record